AGGGACUUAGGAUAAGACCAAACCAAAAGCCUUCAAAGCUUUAAAUAGAAGUGAAAAUCUUCUAGUCCCUG
RNAcentral lists this transfer RNA (71 nucleotides) under Stemonidium hypomelas. RNAcentral describes it as "tRNA-Trp". It matches the Rfam family "tRNA". From Rfam's summary of the family: Transfer RNA (tRNA) molecules are approximately 80 nucleotides in length. Their secondary structure includes four short double-helical elements and three loops (D, anti-codon, and T loops). Further hydrogen bonds mediate the characteristic L-shaped molecular structure. tRNAs have two regions of fundamental functional importance: the anti-codon, which is responsible for specific mRNA codon recognition, and the 3' end, to which the tRNAs corresponding amino acid is attached (by aminoacyl-tRNA synthetases). tRNAs cope with the degeneracy of the genetic code in two manners: having more than one tRNA (with a specific anti-codon) for a particular amino acid; and 'wobble' base-pairing, i.e. permitting non-standard base-pairing at the 3rd anti-codon position. RNAcentral also lists the same sequence under 1 other name. Lineage: Eukaryota; Metazoa; Chordata; Actinopteri; Anguilliformes; Serrivomeridae. The record is from RNAcentral.